Molecule: long non-coding RNA, 1239 nt
Organism: Monodelphis domestica (gray short-tailed opossum)
Lineage: Eukaryota; Metazoa; Chordata; Mammalia; Didelphimorphia; Didelphidae
Source: RefSeq, a predicted model, not a curated record
CUCUCUCUCUCUCUCUCUCUCUCUCUCUCUCUCUCUCUCUCGCCCUCUCCCUCUCCCUCUCCCAAUGCAGCCGGCUCUAAGUUGGGGCCUCAUUAAUUAGGAGGCCUGCCUGGUAGGUGGAGCCGGCUUGAAUUAGAAUGCUUAAUGCGCUUGUCAUUUUCUGCGGCGCGAUUUGCUUGGACAUAUAUAUUUUAAAAUUACAUUAUCACCCGGCUUUAUUGCAUCAGGAUAAUACAGUCUGAUGAAAAAACAUCCGCCCUCAAAACACCGAUUUUCCGGUCCCUCCUCUCGCCUUCACGACGCUAACGGUGAUUUCCUCGAAUCUUUAUUUUCUCUCCUUAUUUCUGUGAUUAUAUUGCUCAUUAUUUGUACGUUAAGUCCGAAGCAGUUUGCGCCGCUUGGGAGGGACGCUGGGCCAAGCUUCGGGAAGGAGGCACCUAGGGAAGGACGAAUGGAAGUCAGACAUCAUGAGGCCCUUCCGGAUAUGUUGUGGGGAGACCUGGAGCCAGGAAGGCAGGGGCGACUCUUCCCGGGAGAGAUAGCAGGCAGGAUAACCCAAAUUGCCGUUGGUCUGUGCUCCUAACCCACAGCAGGGGACAUUACUGAGGGUUUAAAUGUGCCAAAGAUCUCUCCAGAAAAGACGCAAUCCCCACUCCCCGGCUCCACAAUGGAACCUUUAGGAAUGCUCCUGAUCUGGAUGUGUCUGUCCACAUCCCAGUCCAUGAUCUUACCUGCCUUGGAAGAGCUUUACAAAUACCUGCUAUUAGAAGAUGAGAGCAAUGACAGACCUUCCUGGAGUCAGGAGACUGGCCCGAAUGGACCUCUUUAGAGGUUCUUUCAGUCGGGAGUUGCAGGUGCUGAAAAUGAGUCCAGUGACCGAGCCUAUAGGCACUUAGUAGGUUCUUAAUAAAUGCUCAUUGAAUUACAUUUUUACACCAACCUGGCAAUGUCAUUGUCAGGCAUGGGCAGUUCUGGGUCCUUGGGGAUGGAGAAUGCCCAGCCCAGAGUAAAAGCUGGGGCGGGGCUAGAGUCUGGGCGGAGCUCCUAGUAGCCCUCCCUCGAGGCCCGGAGCCUUCCCAGGGCUCCACCGACGCAGUCCCGGCACGGCCCGCCCGGCUCUCCACCAGCCCCAUUACGCUGUAUUUAUGCUUCGCUUUAUUGUUUUUUUUUUAUCUUCCUAUUAUUGUCUCACUCUGGGGGAGGCAAAGGAUAUAAUAUAUUCAUCUUUAUUAUCCCAAA